Long non-coding RNA from Helianthus annuus (common sunflower), 479 nucleotides. RefSeq lists it as uncharacterized. The transcript has 3 exons. NCBI's taxonomy places the organism in Eukaryota, Viridiplantae, Streptophyta, Magnoliopsida, Asterales, Asteraceae. The record is from RefSeq and is a predicted model, not a curated record.
AAACCCUAAAUGUACCCUAAUAGGCUUUUCUUCACGUACGUUCCUUUAUCCUUGCAUCAGCCUCUACAAAUCAGGAACGGCGAAAAAUUUAGUCUUAGGUUUGUCAAAAUCAGCAUCGGAAGCGCGACGAAGUGAGCAAGCAGCAACGACGACCAAAACAACCCGAAACGGCAGUCAUUUAGGGAUUCGGAUUUCGGAUUUUGCGGCAAGUGCAGCGACGGCGGUGACUCGGAUUCUCCUUUCUUUCGAUUUCAGGUUACCUCAAAUCGAUAACAGUCGAACACCUCCGCACGAACUCUCAGGCCACGGAGAACUCUCAGACCACGGAUCGAUUGAACAGAGGUGCUGAUUGUUUGUCGGUUGGAGAAGGGGCGUUUGUGGAGCACCACCCGAGCGGAAGGGUUUUCGUGGAAUAAAGAAUCAAUUGCGUUCAGGUUCUCUAUUGUUUUUGCGAGUCGUUACAGGUACUAUACGUGUUA